This 492-nucleotide ribosomal RNA is filed under the name uncultured bacterium. Its description in RNAcentral is "partial 16S ribosomal RNA". It matches the Rfam family "Bacterial small subunit ribosomal RNA", at positions 29 to 507 of the family's 1533-position model. The record is from RNAcentral.
AGUGAGCGCUGGCGGUAGGCCUAACACAUGCAAGUCGAACGGCAGCACAGUAAGAGCUUGCUCUUACGGGUGGCGAGUGGCGGACGGGUGAGGAAUACAUCGGAAUCUACUUUUUCGUGGGGGAUAACGCAGGGAAACUUACGCUAAUACCGCAUACGACCUACGGGUGAAAGCAGGGGAUCUUCGGACCUUGCGCGAUUGAAUGAGCCGAUGUCGGAUUAGCUAGUUGGCGGGGUAAAGGCCCACCAAGGCGACGAUCCGUAGCUGGUCUGAGAGGAUGAUCAGCCACACUGGAACUGAGACACGGUCCAGACUCCUACGGGAGGCAGCAGUGGGGAAUAUUGGACAAAGGGCGCAAGCCUGAUCCAGCCAUACCGCGUGGGUGAAGAAGGCCUUCGGGUUGUAAAGCCCUUUUGUUGGGAAAGAAAAGCAGCAGGUUAAUACCCCGCUGUUCUGACGGUACCCAAAGAAUAAGCACCGGCUAACUUCGUG